Molecule: ribosomal RNA, 253 nt
Filed under: uncultured bacterium
Lineage: Bacteria
Description: partial 16S ribosomal RNA
Rfam family: Bacterial small subunit ribosomal RNA
Source: RNAcentral
UACGAAGGGGGCUAGCGUUGCUCGGAAUCACUGGGCGUAAAGGGUGCGUAGGCGGGUCUUUAAGUCAGGGGUGAAAUCCUGGAGCUCAACUCCAGAACUGCCUUUGAUACUGGCGAUCUCGAGUUCGGGAGAGGUGAGUGGAACUGCGAGUGUAGAGGUGAAAUUCGUAGAUAUUCGCAAGAACACCAGUGGCGAAGGCGGCUCACUGGCCCGAUACUGACGCUGAGGUGCGAAAGCGUGGGGAGCAAACAGG